GAAUUGCAGAACUCCGUGAACCAAUGGCCUCUUGAACGUGCAUUGCGCUCUUGGGAUAUGCCUGAGAGCAUGUCUGCUUCAGUGCUUCUACUUUCAUCUUCUGCUGCUCUUGUUAUCAGGAGCAGUGUUGCUGCAUGCUUCUGCAAGUGGCACUGGCAUGCUAAAUAUCAAGUUUUGCUUGCUGUUGUGACUGAUCAACAUCUCAUGUCGUUUCAGUUGGCGAAACAAAAGCUCAUGUGUGUUCUUAACACUUCCUAGCAUGAAGUCAGACAAGUGAACCCGCUGAACUUAAGCAUAUGGAUCCC
This 305-nucleotide ribosomal RNA is filed under the name Symbiodinium sp. 2a/clade A4. RNAcentral's name for it is "eukaryotic LSU rRNA". The stretch from base 1 to 87 matches the Rfam family "5.8S ribosomal RNA", at positions 69 to 154 of the family's 154-position model. RNAcentral also lists the same sequence under 1 other name. The record is from RNAcentral. Lineage: Eukaryota; Dinophyceae; Suessiales; Symbiodiniaceae.